This 450-nucleotide ribosomal RNA is filed under the name uncultured bacterium. Its description in RNAcentral is "partial 16S ribosomal RNA". It matches the Rfam family "Bacterial small subunit ribosomal RNA", at positions 28 to 523 of the family's 1533-position model. The record is from RNAcentral.
AGCGAACGCUGGCGGCAGGCUUAACACAUGCAAGUCGAGCGGGCCCUUCGGGGUCAGCGGCAGACGGGUGAGUAACGCGUGGGAACGUGCCCUUCGGUUCGGAAUAACUCAGGGAAACUUGGGCUAAUACCGGAUACGCCCUUUUGGGGAAAGGCUUGACUGCCGAAGGAUCGGCCCGCGUCUGAUUAGCUAGUUGGUGAGGUUACGGCUCACCAAGGCGACGAUCAGUAGCUGGUCUGAGAGGAUGAUCAGCCACACUGGGACUGAGACACGGCCCAGACUCCUGCGGGAGGCAGCAGUGGGGAAGUUGGGAAAAGGGGGGCACCCCUGAUCCAGCCAUGCCGCGUGGGUGAUGACGGCCUUAGGGUUGUAAAGCUCUUUUCUCCGGGACGAUAAUGACGGUACGGGAGGAAUAAGCCCCGGCUAACUUCGUGCCAGCCGCCGCCGUAA